This 62-nucleotide small nucleolar RNA is filed under the name Bigelowiella natans CCMP2755. RNAcentral describes it as "snoRNA EPrBNAG00000013363". Lineage: Eukaryota; Cercozoa; Chlorarachniophyceae. The record is from RNAcentral.
GUCUCCGAUGAUGAUGUAUUUAAACAAAUAUGCGUAGCUGCUCAUUGUUGAAGAAGGGAGUG